GAUGAAGAACGUAGCGAAAUGCGAUAAGUAAUGCGAAUUGCAGAAUUCAGUGAAUCAUCGAGUCUUUGAACGCACAUUGCGCCCCCUGGUAUUCCGGGGGGCAUGCCUGUCCGAGCGUCAUUGCUGCCCUCAAGCACGGCUUGUGUGUUGGGCCUCCGUCCUCCUCCCGGGGGACGGGCCCGAAAGGCAGCGGCGGCACCGCGUCCGGUCCUCGAGCGUAUGGGGCUUCGUCACCCGCUCUUGUAGGCCCGGCCGGCGCUUGCCGACACAUCAAUCUUUUUUCCAGGUUGACCUCGGAUCAGGAAGGGAUACCCGCUGAACUUAAGCAUAUCAAUAAGCGGAGGA
This 345-nucleotide unclassified non-coding RNA is filed under the name soil metagenome. Its description in RNAcentral is "partial contains 5.8S ribosomal RNA, internal transcribed spacer 2, and large subunit ribosomal RNA". The stretch from base 1 to 120 matches the Rfam family "5.8S ribosomal RNA", at positions 35 to 154 of the family's 154-position model. The record is from RNAcentral.